Molecule: ribosomal RNA, 542 nt
Rfam family: Bacterial small subunit ribosomal RNA
UAAAGAUUUGGUCCCAGUCUUGAAAUCAAUUUGUACUUAACUUACACAUGCAAGUAUCCGCACCCCUGUGAAAACGCCCUUAACUUCCUCCUGGUAUAAGGAGCUGGUAUCAGGCACAUUAUAUGCCCAAGACACCUAGCUUUGCCACACCCACAAGGGACUUCAGCAGUGAUUAAUAUUAAAUAUAAGCGUCAGCUCGAUUUAGUUAAAGUAUAAAGAGCCGGCAAAUCUGGUGCCAGCCGCCGCGGUUACACCAAGUGGCUCAAAUUGAUUUUAUCCGGCGUAAAGCGUGAUUAAAGUUAAACUAUCAUAGAAUUUAACUAGAACUAAGCCGUAGUACGCUAGUUACUAAGAAAAUCAAAAACGAAAGUUAUUCUAUUUUAAACAACUUGAAUUCACGACAACUAGGGUACAAACUGGGAUUAGAUACCCCACUAUGCCUAGUCGUAAACUUUAAAUUACACCUAUAUCGCCAGGGAACUACGAGCCAAGCUUAAAACCCAAAGGACUUGACGGUGCCCCAUAUCCAUCUAGAGGAGCCU